This 449-nucleotide ribosomal RNA is filed under the name uncultured bacterium. RNAcentral's name for it is "partial 16S ribosomal RNA". It matches the Rfam family "Bacterial small subunit ribosomal RNA", at positions 29 to 507 of the family's 1533-position model. The record is from RNAcentral.
AAUGAACGCUAGCGGUAGGCCUAACACAUGCAAGUUGAACGCAUACUUUUACAGUAUAAGUAGCAAACGGGUGAGUAACGCGUGAGAAAUCUACCUUACAAUCUGGGAUAAAAUCCCGGAUUCUUUCUAAACUAGAUGUUCCGACAAAUAGUAUAGAAUAAAAGAUUAAAUGUCGUUGUAAGAUGUGCUCGCGUAGGAUUAGGUAGUUGGUGAGUUAAAAGCUACACCAAGCCGAAGAUCCUUAGCUGGUCUGAGAGGAUGAUCAGCCACACUGGGACUGAGACACGGCCCAGACGCUUUCGAGCGGCAGCAGUGAGGAAUUUUGGACAAUGGGCGAAAGCCUGAUCGAGCCAUAUCGCAUGAGUGAAGAAGGCUAAAUUGGUUGUAAAGCUCUGAUUUGAUUGAAGAUUAUGACAUAAGAUAAAAGAAUAGUCCCGGCUAACUUCGUG